This 910-nucleotide unclassified non-coding RNA is filed under the name Hevea brasiliensis (rubber tree). Lineage: Eukaryota; Viridiplantae; Streptophyta; Magnoliopsida; Malpighiales; Euphorbiaceae. The record is from RNAcentral.
GGGGGGGGCGCGCGGGGCGCGGGAUGCGGUAGGGUUGGGGGGUUACCUUGCUUCCCAAAUAUAAAUCCUAAAACUAAUUAAGAACUUACAUAAAUCCUAAGGAAAUACGAAUAGAAAAGUCGAUAGCCAGCUAAAAUAAAAGCCAUAAACUAAGGGAAUCACAAGAUGCGUUUGUUGUUUUGAAAGAAAGAGACUUGAAAGUGACAAGCACACUGAAAGGCAAAGAGCGAGAAAAUGGCAGGAAAGACAACUCAAGAAGAUUAUAAAAAUUAUAGACAGUGUGCCGGCAACGGGAAGUCAUCAUCAUAGAAAAGGCCUUACAAUUUUAUUGGUAUAUAUUGCCAUAAAAGGUUAGAUGUCUGAGCUGUAUCAAAAGCUGCAAAUUUGAUUUUAAACACCCCAACAAAUUAUUAUAUGGAUAGAAAUGAAUUUCUGGUUGAAGUAAACCUCAAAAUCAUCGUCAUGAUUAUAUCAAACUGCCAAAAAAAAAAAAUAGAAAGAAAAACAACAGAUGGUAUUUCUUGUGUUUUUGUUGAUAAGGUUAAAAAGGAUUCCCUUUUCAUCGAUAAAUAAAAUAAUGAAAUAUGAAAAUCAGAGGUCAGUUGAGGAAGGGGAGGGUUAGUGAAAUUGGUCAAGGCAGAUAAGGAAAGAGAAAUUGGGAGGAAAGAAGGUUUUACCUCUGCUUUGAAAUAAUGGAAUUCGUAGAGAGGAAGAAAGUGGCAGUUAUGGAAGAAAGAAAGUAUUGUGAGUGGCUACGGUCCAGGCAAAGGCACACAGAUAUUGCCUUCUCUGUGGGUUUACGCACCAGUAAACGAGCAGAGCCACUCAUUCAACUCACUCUGGGAGUUAAUAUCCUUUUCAAUAAUAAUCAAAAUCUUUUCAAGAUAAAUAUACAUUCCAUUUCAAUUUU